CCUACGGGUGGCUGCAGUGGGGAAUAGUGGACAAUGGGGGCAACCCUGAUCCAGCCAUGCCGCGUGUGUGAAGAAGGCCCUCGGGUUGUAAAGCACUUUCAGUGAGGAAGAACGCCUGGUGGUUAAUACCCAUCAGGAAAGACAUCACUCACAGAAGAAGCACCGGCUAACUCCGUGCCAGCAGCCGCGGUAAUACGGAGGGUGCGAGCGUUAAUCGGAAUUACUGGGCGUAAAGCGCGCGUAGGUGGCUUGAUAAGCCGGUUGUGAAAGCCCCGGGCUCAACCUGGGAACGGCAUCCGGAACUGUCAAGCUAGAGUGCAGGAGAGGAAGGUAGAAUUCCCGGUGUAGCGGUGAAAUGCGUAGAGAUCGGGAGGAAUACCAGUGGCGAAGGCGGCCUUCUGGACUGACACUGACACUGAGGUGCGAAAGCGUGGGUAGCAAACAGGAUUAGAUACCCCGGUAGUC
RNAcentral lists this ribosomal RNA (465 nucleotides) under Vreelandella stevensii. Its description in RNAcentral is "partial 16S ribosomal RNA". It matches the Rfam family "Bacterial small subunit ribosomal RNA", at positions 338 to 795 of the family's 1533-position model. Lineage: Bacteria; Pseudomonadati; Pseudomonadota; Gammaproteobacteria; Oceanospirillales; Halomonadaceae. The record is from RNAcentral.